AAAAGAGGAAAGUCGUAACAUGGUAAGCCUACCGGAAGGUGGUCUUGGGACAGAAUAUAGCUUAACCAAAGCAUUUUGCUUACACCAAAAAAAUAUCACUUAGAUUAUUCUGACACUGUAAAUUUAGCCUUCUUCAACCUAUACACACACAUCCAAAACCAUUUAAACACAUUAGUAUGAGUGACAAAAAACUUUUAAGCGCAAUAAAUAAAGUACUGCAAAGGAAAUAUGAAAUAGAAAUUAAAUAAACACAAAAGUACAAUAAAGCAAAGAUUAAUUCUUAUACCUUUUGCAUAAUGGUCUAGCAAGUUUAACUUAACAUAAAUAUUUUUGUUGAAUUCCCCGAAACCAAACGAGCUACCUUAGAGCAAAUCACAAAUCCUUCUCUGUAGCAAAAGAGAGUGAAAGACUUAAAGGUAGAGGUGAAAAACCAAACGAGCUUGGAGAUAUCUGGUUACUUGGGAAUGAAUCAAGUUCAACUAAAAGUAAAUUUACCAACAAGGAUACACAUACACUUUUAAUAUAAUAAAUUAGGGUACAGCCUAUUUUAUAAAGGGAACAGCCUAUAUACAUGAAUUAAGAUAUAUUAUACUAUAUAACUAAGUAGGCCUAAAAGCAGCCACCAAAAUAGCGUCACAGCUUAAUUAUACACCACAAAUAUUUAAAUAGAAUAUCUAAAUUCAACAGAACAACCAAGUUAAUCUACUUAUAGAUGAACCACUACUAGAAUAAGUAAUAAGGAAUACCUCUAAAUACAUGUGUAAAUCAGAAUGGACCCCCCCCCGAUAAUUAACGAAAACAUUUACCUAAACAAGAAAUUAAAUCCUACAUACCGUUAAUCCAACACAGGAGUAUAAAAGAAAGACUUAAAGCUUAAGAAGGAACUCGGCAAACCCUGGCUUCGCCUGUUUACCAAAAACAUCGCCUUUCGAUAAAUAAACAUGAAAGGUCCUGCCUGCCCAGUGACAUUUUUAACGGCCGCGGUAUUAUGACCGUGCAAAGGUAGCAUAAUCACUUGUCUUCUAAAUUAAGACCGGAAUGAAUGGCAAGACGAAAGCCCAACUGUCUCCUUAAGCUAGUCAAUGAAAUUGAUCUUUUCGUGCAGAAGCGAAAGUAUUAAUAUAAGACGAGAAGACCCUGUGGAGCUUAAAAAAAAGGCUAUACACUUUAAUAGCACUUAUUUAGGUUGGGGCGACCAUGAGGUAAAACAUAACCCUCAAGACAACAACUAGAAGAACACUUCAAAUAAAACAAAAAUUAUAUAUGACCCAAUAAUGAUCAACGAACCAAGUUACCCCAGGGAUAACAGCGCAAUCCAUUUUUAGAGCCCUUAUCGACAAAUGGGUUUACGACCUCGAUGUUGGAUCAGGACCCCUAAUGGUGCAACAACUAUUAAAGGCUCG
Molecule: ribosomal RNA, 1403 nt
Filed under: Chiropterotriton mosaueri (cave splayfoot salmander)
Lineage: Eukaryota; Metazoa; Chordata; Amphibia; Caudata; Plethodontidae
Description: partial large subunit ribosomal RNA
Rfam family: Bacterial large subunit ribosomal RNA
Source: RNAcentral